Salvelinus sp. IW2-2015 is the source of this 2072-nucleotide long non-coding RNA. RefSeq lists it as uncharacterized. Lineage: Eukaryota; Metazoa; Chordata; Actinopteri; Salmoniformes; Salmonidae. The record is from RefSeq and is a predicted model, not a curated record.
AGCUUCACUGAAAAGAAAAGCAUGAAUAGGGUAGCAGAAUUAUGUAGUCUAGGCUACUGGAUACAGUAGAGACAUUUCUUUACCCGAGACAAAUCUGUCGACAACUAUUCUAUUUGGCUACCUUUUUGCGUCAUCUGACAGUCAGAGCGCUCCACAGUAUGAUGUAGAUAGGCUACAUUGUUGCGUCGUCUGACGGUUACAGAGACUGUCAAUCACUAAAGCCCUUAAAAUAUUUGUUGAAUGUUGCCAUGGCAUUUAAAUGAUUUAGUAGUCGUGUUUGAUUGGUUGCGUCUGUUUGUUACCUGGAGACUGUCUACAAGAGUUGGUGAGGAAACCAGCCCUUCGGCUUUGGACACAAGUUCAGAACCACCGGUGUAGACACUGCAGAAUAUUCGGAAACUUUGGUCCCGUGACGCUGUGAGUAUCAUGGCCACGCUAAGUGCCAAGCCUGGGCUCAGGUACAGUGUGUCUGACUGGGACCCCAGUAACAAGCUGAUGUCUGACACAGCAGAACAGAGGCGACACAUCUCACAUGAGACACGCCAGGAAGGGAGGACCUUACGCAAUGAGACAACCAGCAAGACUAACUGGGAUGAGAGUGACAGGCUGAGUAAUAGGAUCUGGGAUAUCUCCCGCUAGAGAGAGACUUUGGAAUCCUGCGCACAGGAAUUGGGCAAAGAGAUGGAUGCCUUAACCCUGAUGAGAUUUGCAAUUCAAUUUCAAAUUAGUAUUAAUCUGGUAUGCAGUUUCAAUGUACCUGGUAAAAAAACAAGCCAGGUUUUGGGGUGAUGUAUUGACUUUCUAGUACAGCGUAGGUGAAUUUGUGUGCUCUGUCUCGGGGGAAGGAGGAGACAGAGCGGGCCAUCACAGUGCCUCUGGAUGGUCACGGUGGAGUGCCUGACCUUGAUGGAGGGUCGCCCUGGAAACGAGCUAGUCAGCGACCUGGUGGAGGUGAUCGACAGAGCACAGAGGGUGCUUCAGCAGCGCAUUGACAGGGCCUUUGAGGAGCUGUUGUAAGAAACCAUUUGACCAAGAUUGAGUCCCAAAUGGUACUCUAUUUCCUUUAUAGUGUACUACUUUUGCACAGAGUCCCAUGUGCUCUGGUCAAAAGUAGUACACUAGGAAUAAGGUGCUAUUUGGGAUGGCUCCACUGUUAGAGUGAAACAGAAGCGAAAAAAGGAGGAUGAAAGAUGUCACAUAUUUUGCUGUCUCAGUACUUUUGCUGUCUCAGGCUGUUCUCUCCAGUCUUCUACAGGAGUCCCGGCAGCAGCUGACCCAUGACAUUCAGAACAAGGCCCAAGACAUUGACCUGUCCUGCUUGUCACUCACUGUGACAUCACCUGAGAUUCUCUGAAGCCCAACCCCCUGCGCAUACCCAUAAGGUGUGCUGGAAUGAGGGUGUACAAUACAAAGAAAUAAUAGACCUUCUGAAAUUCGGAGCAGGAUAUCUAGAUCAAACCUACUUAUGUGUUGUCAAUGAGAACCUCGUACAAUUGUAAUCCUUACGUGCAUAUACAUCUCUGUAACUAGCUACAAUAUUAAUUCACCAGGCACUCAACUCAUCAAAAUAGUUUCUGCAAUGCCACCAUUUGCCUUUCAAAUUAAUUGAAUGUACCUGUAAAAUACCUGUAUAUGUACAUGUGCUGUUGCAGUUCCACCACCUCCCAGCAGUGGGAGCAGUUCAGCCAGUACAACAUGGCCCAAGCACAGGAGACGAUGCAGGCGUCACAGCAGCUGAGGGAGGACAUGAGUCACUAGGGUACAGGUAUAAAAUAAAGCCUGGGGGAGGGAGAGAGGAGUGUAGCGUUACCAUAUGGCCAGGCCUGAAACAAUAGCACUGUUCUGUAUUGACUCCUAUAAAACAGCACUUCCCUUUAUAGUGCUGUACUACUUUUGACCAGGGCCCAUUGGGUGCCAUUUGGGGAACACACCCUGUCUGCUUUCACAGGGCUCUCUGUUGUUGUUUAGUAUCUGAUAGGGCCUAUUUCUGCUUCAUAGAUAUUGCUAAAAUGUAUGUGUACAGUAAGACUAUAGAGAGUUAGGUGACAAGUGUGGCAUAUCAAGAAGCUGAU